GACGAACGCUGGCGGCGUGCCUAAUACAUGCAAGUAGAACGCUGAAGGAGGAGCUUGCUUCUCUGGAUGAGUUGCGAACGGGUGAGUAACGCGUAGGUAACCUGCCUGGUAGCGGGGGAUAACUAUUGGAAACGAUAGCUAAUACCGCAUAAUAGUAGAUGUUGCAUGACAUUUGCUUAAAAGGUGCAAUUGCAUCACUACCAGAUGGACCUGCGUUGUAUUAGCUAGUUGGUGGGGUAACGGCUCACCAAGGCGACGAUACAUAGCCGACCUGAGAGGGUGAUCGGCCACACUGGGACUGAGACACGGCCCAGACUCCUACGGGAGGCAGCAGUAGGGAAUCUUCGGCAAUGGACGGAAGUCUGAUCGAGCAACGCCGCGUGAGUGAAGAAGGUUGUCGGAUCGUAAAGCUCUGUUGUAAGAGAAGAACGAGUGUGAGAGUGGAAAGUUCACACUGUGACGGUAUCUGACCAGAAAGGGACGGCUAACUACGUG
This 495-nucleotide ribosomal RNA is filed under the name uncultured bacterium. RNAcentral's name for it is "partial 16S ribosomal RNA". It matches the Rfam family "Bacterial small subunit ribosomal RNA", at positions 28 to 507 of the family's 1533-position model. The record is from RNAcentral.